GCCGGGCGUGGUGGCGGGCGCCUGUAAUCCCAGCUGUUUGGAGGCAGAGGCAGGAGAAUUGCUUGUAUCUGGGAGACAGAGGUUGCAGUGAGCUGAGAUGGUGCCACUGCACUCCAGCCUGGGUGACAAAGCGAGACUCUGUCUUGA
This 147-nucleotide non-coding RNA is filed under the name Chlorocebus sabaeus (green monkey). Lineage: Eukaryota; Metazoa; Chordata; Mammalia; Primates; Cercopithecidae. The record is from Rfam by way of RNAcentral.